GGGAAUGUAGCUCAGUUGGAGAGCACAUGCUUAGCAUACAUGAAGUCCUGGGUUCAAUCCCACCUCUCA
Molecule: transfer RNA, 69 nt
Filed under: Fukomys damarensis (Damara mole-rat)
Lineage: Eukaryota; Metazoa; Chordata; Mammalia; Rodentia; Bathyergidae
Rfam family: tRNA
About the family: Transfer RNA (tRNA) molecules are approximately 80 nucleotides in length.
Source: Rfam by way of RNAcentral